UGACAUACGGCUGUCCUUCAAGGGAGCAAGAGGCUGGUAUGAGGAGUUGUGCACCGUGGGAGAAGAAACUUCACACUUCUGCAGCUGAAUGACCUGCAGGGGGCAAGAGGUCAAGAGGUCCACUAAUGACAGUCAAAUAAACGUCUGAUGGUGUGGGAGAGUAAAUCGAAAUGACCGGCAUGCUGAGGAGAACUGUUGGUUUAGACCAGGGUGUGCCGACAAGGAAGAGAAAGAGACAGACACUAAAGUGAGUCGCAGGGCUGAGCUGAAGUCUGGGAGACUGGGAGGAGACAGACAGACGGACAGAGAGAGUCACACACGCACAUGGGCGGGCUGUUGUCUGACUGUCUGAAGCGUGCAAAUCCAUGCAAACACAUGCAAAUAUUUUGCAAAUACAUAUUUAUUGCGAAAUGUAAUAGUUACCCUCAGGCUAAACAGUGGGGUGCUUCACUAAAGAACAGUUGUGCUAUGGGGUUGCUUUUUUGGUUUAUAAAACUCGCAUUAAAAUGAAAAAAUUAGCCAUGCUUUACCUUUACAUGUCAACCUUUUUUUUCAGUAUACAAAACAUCACCUCCACCACAUUUCAAAAAAUGUUUUUUUUUGUUUAAAUACCAGAAGCAUGCAUGUAGUUAGUGUUGCAUUAAAAAAUGGUUCUCAAACUGGGGGGCCGCCCUUGGGGGUCACAAAAUAAGUAACACAAUUCAUCAUAAAUUCUGUGUAAUUAAACCUCAGAAAAAUAAGGCUACUUACCAACAGCACUACAUUGUAUCAUUUUGUAUGUUUUGUUUUAUUCAAAUUCUAAGUUUGAGUUCGUUUUAUGUCAUGAAUUUUCUUUGUUGGGGAUGGGGCAUG
Paramisgurnus dabryanus is the source of this 852-nucleotide long non-coding RNA. RefSeq lists it as uncharacterized. NCBI's taxonomy places the organism in Eukaryota, Metazoa, Chordata, Actinopteri, Cypriniformes, Cobitidae. The record is from RefSeq and is a predicted model, not a curated record.